Molecule: ribosomal RNA, 468 nt
Filed under: uncultured bacterium
Lineage: Bacteria
Description: partial 16S ribosomal RNA
Rfam family: Bacterial small subunit ribosomal RNA
Source: RNAcentral
GACGAACGCUGGCGGCGUGCUUAACACAUGCAAGUCGAACGGAAAGGCCCUGCUUUUGUGGGGUGCUCGAGUGGCGAACGGGUGAGUAACACGUGAGUAACCUGCCCUUGUCUUUGGGAUAACUUCAGGAAACUGGGGCUAAUACAGGAUAGGAGCUCCUGCUGCAUGGUGGGGGUUGGAAAGUUUCGGCGGUUGGGGAUGGACUCGCGGCUUAUCAGCUUGUUGGUGGGGUAGUGGCUUACCAAGGCUUUGACGGGUAGCCGGCCUGGGAGGGUGACCGGCCACAUUAGGACUGAGGUACGGCGCAGACUCCAACGGGAGGCAGCAGUGGGGAAUAUUGCACAAUGGGCGGAAGUGUGAGGAAGCAACGCCGCGUGCGGAAUGACGGCCUUCGGGUUGUAAACCGCUUUCGCCUGUGACGAAGCGUGAGUGACGGUAAUGGGUAAAGAAGCACCGGCUAACUACGUG